Molecule: non-coding RNA, 2749 nt
Organism: Callithrix jacchus (white-tufted-ear marmoset)
Lineage: Eukaryota; Metazoa; Chordata; Mammalia; Primates; Cebidae
Source: RefSeq, a predicted model, not a curated record
CGCUGGUCGUUGGCUCCGGGGUCGGAGUGGGACCCGGGCUGAAGCCGAGGCUCGGACCCGGCCCAAGGCUGAGCCCGGCGCCGGGGCCGGCGCUGGACGCAGGGACGAGGGCGAGGGAAGAUGUGUGGAGAAACAGACAGGAUAAGGAGGAAAGACACUGCUGAGCCUUCACCGUCUUGAAACCACAGGCUGAGAUAAACCGAGAACACGCAUGGCAAAGGAUCCAGCUGAAGCCAACUGUGCAGGCACCACUCCUAUUUGCCUCAGAACCCCUCAUUGUGUUAAUGACAUUAAAAUCCACAAUCACAUUAAAUAAGCAGUAAUUAGAGGCAGACUGACUCAACUCAUCCAACUAUCUCCUCUCAGAGUUUAGGGAGGGACUUGGGAGGCAAUUUGUGCAAUGGGCGAAGACUGAAAACAGAAAGGGGCCUGCCACAGGUGCUCUUGCCUGCAAUCCCAGCAACUUGGGAGGCUGAGGCAGGCAGAUCACUUGAGGUCAGGAAUUCAAGACCAGCCUGGCCAAUAUGGUGAAAACCCAUCUCUACUAAAAAGACAAAAAUUGGCUGGGCAUGGUGGCCCAUGUCUGUACUCCAAGCUACUCAGGAGGCUGAGGCAGGAGAAUUGCUUGAACCCAGGAGGUGGAGGUUGCAGUGAGCCGAGAUCAUGCCACUGCACUCCAGCCUGGGCAACAAACUGAGACUCCAUCUCAAAUAAUAAAAAUAAAAAAGAAGGAGAUGAUGGGCUGGGAUUGUAAAUCACGAGGGAUGCUACACCUGCAAUCUUGAGGGCUUCUUGGGACCUACAAACCUGAUGUCACUCCUGCUGAUGGGGUGAUUGAAUGUAAAGAAAACAGGUUCUCUGGCCUCCCCUUCUUUCUCAUCUUCCUCACUAUUUACGAGAAAAUCCCAGGAUUCGGAUUAAGCCCAUUCUCUAGGUGUGGUGACACUGGUGAAGUGGCUUGAGUCAUUUUGCUUCCUGUAUUGCCUCCUGUUUACUCUUGCUGCCACCAAGAAGGGUCUGGACCACCCAAGGGGGAAAGAACAUGUAAAAGGGAGAGAUAACAUAGUGCUUAGAAAAUACGGCCAGGCACGGGCUCAUGCCAAUGGGAGGCCAAAGAGGGCAAAUCUCCUGAGCCCAGGAGUUUGACACCAGGCUGGACAACAUGGUGAAAUCCUGUCUCUACAAAAACUACAAAAAAUUGGCCGGGCAUGGUGGCACACACCUGUGGUGGCAUACACCUUUGGUACCAGCUACUUGGGAGGCUGAGGUGGGAGGAUCACUGGAGUCCAUGAGGGUAAGGCUGCCGUGAGCCAUGCAUGAUCUUUCCGCUGUACUCAGGCAUAGGUGACAGUAAGACCCUGUCUAAAAUAAAAAAGAGACAAAGAGAAAGGAAGGAAGAGAAAGAGAGAGAGAGGGAGGAAGGGAAAGGAGGGAGGGAAGGAAGGAAGGAAAUUAAAUUAAGCUAGCUAUUUGGGAAGAAAUAAAUUUAAAGCUAUGUGGCACAUUGUAUACCAAAGCUAAUUCCAAGUAGAUUAAAGGGUUAAUAAUAAUAAUGAUGCAACAAAAUACUGGAUAAAAAGAUUGGCAAGUGUUUAUCUCAUCUUUGGAUACCGAAAAUUUUUCUAAGCACAAUAGUAACAGAAGAACUCAUAAUGGGAAGCUCAGUAGACAUGGAUACAUAAAAACUUUAGGCCGGGUGCGGUGGCUCAAGGCUGUAAUCCCAGCACUUCGGGAGGCCGAGGCGGAUGGAUCACAAGGUCAAGAGAUCGAGACCAUCCUGGUCAACAUGGCGAAACCCCGUCUCUACUAAAAAUACAAAAAAUUAGCUGGGCAUGGUGGUGAGCACCUGUAAUCCCAGCUACUCAGGAGGCUGAGGCAGGAGAAUUGCCUGAACCCAGGAGGUGGAGGUUGCGGCGAGCCAAGAUUAAGCCACUGUACUCCAGCCUGAGUGACAGAGUGAGACCCCGUCUCAAAACAAAUAAAAAGCAAAAAACAAAAACAAAAACUUUAAACUUUGGUAUAGUAAAAACAUUAUUUAAGAAAUUUAGAGAAAAUUUAUGAUUAAUUUAUAAAGCAGCUUUAUUGUGUUAUUUUAUAGGAAAAGAGGCUAAUUACAUAAAUAGACAUAAGAUCACAAAAGAGAUGCAAGCAGCCAAUAUGUUUGUGAAAAUAUUCGCAUUUACUAGUAACCAGAGCAAUUAAAUUGGAGCAAUUAGAUGUCGUUUUCCAGUACUGGAAAAGAUUCAGAUAUAUGCUAUUAUGUGGCAAGGAUACAAUCAACGUGGAUAUAUCCUAUCAUAGAAACAACCAUGAAAACAGAGCGCCUACUUCCAGGAGUUCUCAUAGAAAUCUUUGGAUUAAUUUGGGAUUAAUAAGGGGGAACUAUUGUACAGUAAUGUUUGUUUGGCCACUUUUCUUAAAAGGAAGCUAGGCUGGGCAGGGUGGCUCAUGCCUGAAAUCCCAGCACUUUGGGAGGCCCAGGCGGGCAGAUCACCAGAUCAGGAAAUUGAGACCAUCCUGGCCAACAUGGUGAAACCCGGUCUCUACUAAAGCUACAAAAAUUAACCUGGCAUGGUGGCAGGCUUCUGUAGUCCCAGCUACUCAGGAGGCUGAGGCAAGCAAGUCGCUUGAACCUGGGAGGCAGAGGUUGCAGUGAGCCGAGAUCAUGCCACUGCACUCCAGCCUGGCAAGAGAGCCAGACUCUGUCUCAAAAAAGAAAAGAAAGAAGAAAAAGAAAGAAAGAAAGAAA